GCCCUCGUAGUUCAAUGGAUUAGAACAGUCCCGUCCUAAGGGAUCGAUAGAGGUCCGAUUCCUCUCGAGGGCA
This 73-nucleotide transfer RNA is filed under the name bacterium. RNAcentral's name for it is "tRNA-Arg". It matches the Rfam family "tRNA". Rfam says of the family: Transfer RNA (tRNA) molecules are approximately 80 nucleotides in length. Their secondary structure includes four short double-helical elements and three loops (D, anti-codon, and T loops). Further hydrogen bonds mediate the characteristic L-shaped molecular structure. tRNAs have two regions of fundamental functional importance: the anti-codon, which is responsible for specific mRNA codon recognition, and the 3' end, to which the tRNAs corresponding amino acid is attached (by aminoacyl-tRNA synthetases). tRNAs cope with the degeneracy of the genetic code in two manners: having more than one tRNA (with a specific anti-codon) for a particular amino acid; and 'wobble' base-pairing, i.e. permitting non-standard base-pairing at the 3rd anti-codon position. The record is from RNAcentral.